This is a small nucleolar RNA of Ailuropoda melanoleuca (giant panda), 138 nucleotides long. Lineage: Eukaryota; Metazoa; Chordata; Mammalia; Carnivora; Ursidae. The record is from Ensembl.
UUCCAAAGUGUUGAGUUCAGUUCAGGGCAGCUUCCCUGUUCUGUUAAUUAAACUUUGGAACAUUGAAAACCUGGGCUGUGGGAGAUGAUUGGAUAGAAAGCAUUACUCUAUUCAUUCACUACCUCCCAGCCUACAAAA